UCCAUGAAUAUUUCUUGACCAAAUGAAUAAACGGACCAGGAUUCAACACCAGGCCUGUCUGACCAGAAUCUCUUUCCUCUACACCCAGGGACCUCCGGCUUGGGAAGACCCUCAGGGUUGAACUCACUCACACCCCAGAUGACCACCUGCUCUUCCCUCUGCCACCUCCUAGGGAAGGGGUUGCGGAGCAUCAACUCACUGUGACAUCACCUGCCCCUGAUACAGGCCCUGAGGCCUCAAAUCGAGGUGACACCUAGAACUUCCUCUCUCCAGGACUCUCUCCCCUGCUGGUGUGGGAAGCACUCCAGGCACAUCAACCACCGGUGUCCCGAGAAGGAUUGAACAAACUCCUUUCUCCUCCGUUAUCACUUCCCCCCGCCCCCACAAUGAAUGUUUGUGCUGAGGACUGAGACCAAUUGUGUCAACGUAACUGCUGGUUCCAGGACACUCUUUCCCCGGAGGAUGAGGGUGUAAAUGAUAAAGAAUGUUACUCAUUGCUUCAGGAAGUUCCUGAAAGCCAGUUAUCCAGGUGACACCAUGAGGCUUGCACAUGUGCAGGGAUCUGCUGUUGCUUCUGAGUGGUGGUUCCCAGAAUCAAACGUCACCCGUGUCAUGUGCACAUGGACUGCUGAAAGACCCAGCAGAUACUGUGUGAUAGCUGGAGCUGGAGCAGCCACCCUGAGGUCUUGUAUCAGCAAGGAUGAAAACAUCACCAACAUCAUAAGGCUGGUGGAAUAGAGAAUGAGAAAGACACGGUGUCUUCGUGGAAGUGGCAGGUAUUAAUGCAGGGAGAAAUACACCCUUAGCUCUUUGUGCCUCUGUUUUUCAUAUGUGUGCUCUUGUGGUAUAAAUGUAUUCCUGAUCAAGUAGAAAAAUAAUGAACACCAAUCAAUCAAUUAAUAAAAUAAUGAUAGGCAAAGAAUCCAACAGUUGUAAACGCUAUGCAGACAAUGAAAAAGGUGUAGGCAGAAAAUGACAGGCAGUCUGCGUUAUAAUAACAGGCUGGAGACACCUAAAUUGCAAGGUGUCUCUGGAACUGCUGUCAGGACUGAAAGAAGGAAUGAGUCUCAGGAGCUGUGUGGGGAACAGCGGAGUCAAGCCCCUGUGGGAAGAGUCUGGCAUGUGUGAGGAUCCCAGAGGACUUGGCAAACCUGAAAGGGGUCCCGGAUUCAAGCCAGUGGAGG
Molecule: long non-coding RNA, 1184 nt
Organism: Sapajus apella (tufted capuchin)
Lineage: Eukaryota; Metazoa; Chordata; Mammalia; Primates; Cebidae
Exons: 4
Source: RefSeq, a predicted model, not a curated record